CCUACGAGUGGCAGCAGUGAGGAAUAUUGGUCAAUGGGAGAGAUCCUGAACCAGCCAAGCCGCGUGAGGGAAGACGGCCCUAUGGGUUGUAAACCUCUUUUGUCGGAGAACAAAACCCGGGACGUGUCCCGGACUGCGUUUAUACGAAGAAAAAGCAUCGGCUAACUCCGUGCAAGCAGCGUCGGUACUACGGAGGAUGCGAGCGUUAUCCGGAUUUAUUGGGUUUAAAGGGUGCGUAGGCUGUCCGUUAAGGCAGCGGUAAAAUUGCGGGGCUCAACCCCGUCGAGCCGUUGAAACGGGCAGACUUGAGUUGGCUAGAAGUACGCGGAAUGCGCGGUGUAGCGGUGAAAUGCAUAGAUAUCGCGCAGAACUCCGAUUGCGAAGGCAGCGUACCGGCGCCAGACUGACGCUGAGGCACGAAAGCGUGGGGAUCGAACAGGAUUAGAUACCCGGGUAGUC
Molecule: ribosomal RNA, 459 nt
Filed under: uncultured bacterium
Lineage: Bacteria
Description: partial 16S ribosomal RNA
Rfam family: Bacterial small subunit ribosomal RNA
Source: RNAcentral